Molecule: ribosomal RNA, 499 nt
Filed under: uncultured bacterium
Lineage: Bacteria
Description: bacterial SSU rRNA
Rfam family: Bacterial small subunit ribosomal RNA
Source: RNAcentral
AGCGAACGCUGGCGGCGUGCUUAACACAUGCAAGUCGUGCGAGAAAGCUCCUUCGGGAGUGAGUAGAGCGGCGGACGGGUGAGUAAUGCGUGAAUAACCUGCCCACAGGACUGGGAUAACUUCGGGAAACUGGAGCUAAUACCGGAUAAGACCACGAUCUCUACGGAUUUCGGGGUAAAAGGUGGCUGCUUGCGGCUAUCACCUAUGGAGGGGUUCACGUUCCAUCAGGUUGUUGGUGAGGUAAAGGCUCACCAAGCCUAAGACGGAUAGUUGGCCUUAGCGGGUGGCCAACCACACGGGGACUGAGACACGGCCCCGACUCCUACGGGAGGCAGCAGUGAGGAAUAUUGGGCAAUGGGCGCAAGCCUGACCCAGCGACGUCGCGUGGGGGACGAAGGCCCUCGGGUCGUAAACCCUUGUCAUAGGGGAAGAUGGGUAUAUGUGCUAAUACCACAUAUACUUGACGGUACCCUAAGAGGAAGCCCCGGCUAACUCCGUG